RNAcentral lists this unclassified non-coding RNA (300 nucleotides) under uncultured Xylariaceae. RNAcentral describes it as "sequence contains ITS1". The stretch from base 1 to 105 matches the Rfam family "5.8S ribosomal RNA", at positions 50 to 154 of the family's 154-position model. Lineage: Eukaryota; Fungi; Ascomycota; Sordariomycetes; Xylariales; Xylariaceae. The record is from RNAcentral.
GAAAUGCGAUAAGUAAUGUGAAUUGCAGAAUUCAGUGAAUCAUCGAAUCUUUGAACGCACAUUGCGCCCAUUAGUAUUCUAGUGGGCAUGCCUGUUCGAGCGUCAUUUCAACCCUUAAGCCCUGUUGCUUAGCGUCGAGAGCCUGCGUUACAGCAGCUCUCUAGAUUCAGUGGCGGAGUCAGCUCAACUCUAAGCGUAGUAAUUCUCUCUCGCUUCUGUAGUGGUUCUGUCCCCUGCCGUAAAACCCCCUAUUUUACAAUGGUUGACCUCGGAUCAGGUAGGAAUACCCGCUGAACUUAA